CAGGGUUCAGUUGUACCUUAAACUUCAAAGCUGGGGAUAUAGAAUAAUAGCGAUAGACUAUAGAGGGUUUGGAGACUCGUCAGACAUAGGCCAAAUAACUGAAGAAAGUACUGUACAAGAUGGA
This is a long non-coding RNA of Eurytemora carolleeae, 124 nucleotides long. RefSeq lists it as uncharacterized. The record is from RefSeq and is a predicted model, not a curated record. NCBI's taxonomy places the organism in Eukaryota, Metazoa, Arthropoda, Copepoda, Calanoida, Temoridae. The transcript has 3 exons.